This 440-nucleotide ribosomal RNA is filed under the name uncultured bacterium. RNAcentral's name for it is "partial 16S ribosomal RNA". It matches the Rfam family "Bacterial small subunit ribosomal RNA", at positions 338 to 795 of the family's 1533-position model. The record is from RNAcentral.
CCUACGUGAGGCAGCAGUGGGGAAUAUUGGACAAUGGGGGGAACCCUGAUCCAGCGACGCCGCGUGAGUGAAGAAGUCUUUCGGUAUGUAAAGCUCUAUCAGCAGGGAAGAAAAUGACGGUACCUGACUAAGAAGCCCCGGCUAACUACGUGCCAGCAGCCGCGGUAAUACGUAGGGGGCAAGCGUUAUCCGGAUUUACUGGGUGUAAAGGGAGCGUAGACGGUGCAGCAAGUCUGGUGUGAAAGGUCGGGGCCCAACCCCGGGACUGCAGUGGAAACUGGUGAACUGGAGUGCAGGAGAGGUAAGGGGAAUUCCUAGUGUAGCGGUGAAAUGCGUAGAUAUUAGGAGGAACACCAGUGGCGAAGGCGGCUUACUGGACUGUAACUGACGUUGAGGUUCGAAAGCGUGGGGAGCAAACAGGAUUAGAUACCCCAGUAGUC